Molecule: long non-coding RNA, 1074 nt
Filed under: Homo sapiens (human)
Lineage: Eukaryota; Metazoa; Chordata; Mammalia; Primates; Hominidae
Description: non-protein coding lnc-FAM186B-3:1
Source: RNAcentral
AGACGUACCUCACGGAAGCCGGCUUUGGCCCUGCGGCUGCUACCGUCGCCGCGGAGAAAUUGUUGGAUCUGGCAGUCUAGGAAUGAAUCUCCUCUCAGCCUUUAAGCUCACCUGGUCAGAAUCCUUGGAUGAGCCUGUGGGACCGUUCCUCCUAGCCCGGUGGUUUGGAACCAGUGGCUUUGGGACUGUAAGAGGAUGGACAAAGGUAGUAUGAGGCCGGGACAGCUCCCCAAAUGCUCGGGCGCCAAGCAUCUGCUGAUUCCACUCUGUGCCUGGCACGUGUGUCUUUCGGUCCUGGCUAGGCCUUGCCACCUCCCCCUGGGCCAGCACCACCCAUGUACCUGUCGGCAGAGCCACAGUUGACUGACUUGCUGUUGAGCUGCUGCUCUUUAGCACGGCUGCAUUUUGAUGGCAGAGGGAGCAGUUAUGCCCAGAGCCCAGCGUGUCGGCAUCACCAGUCUGACCUGAGCACCAUGUGCUGCACGACAUGACACGUGGCACCGGGGGAACUGCCCAGCGUGGAAGGUCUGGGCCAGGUCUGAGCCCAGAUGGGAUCUGGAUGGCCAAGGAACUCUACCUUAAAACCUCAAGUGUCAAGGAGGCAGGGGAGGGGCCAAGAGGGCUGGCAGGGGAAGGGGGCUGGGGAGGGGUCCCAUUUGCAGAGGCUGCUUCCUCUGUCAGUGCCUUUCUCUGCGUAGUCCUUGGUUUCCCAUCUUUCUCUGGCCUGCAUAGACCUACUCCCCCAAUUCUUCAGGUCCCAGCCCUCACCUGCCCCAUUUCCCCAGAUCACCCUGGGCAGAGCAACCAAGGAUAACCAGAUUGAUGUGGACCUGUCUCUGGAGGGUCCGGCCUGGAAGAUAUCCCGGAAACAAGGUAUCCCCCACCCCCUGCCCCAGCAGGAAGCAGUGUGAGGUCGUCCCUCCCAGCCUCUCGCUGUCCUUUCUAGCCCUGGGCUUGGUGUCCAUGGGGACCCUCGUGGACCACCUGAGGCAGGGAUUCCUUGGUGUCUGCAGGAAGCAGAGCUGGUCCAUGGAAGCUCCUGGCUCUCUCUGGCCUUUCCCCAUCCCAUCAAUC